Molecule: ribosomal RNA, 253 nt
Filed under: uncultured bacterium
Lineage: Bacteria
Description: partial 16S ribosomal RNA
Rfam family: Bacterial small subunit ribosomal RNA
Source: RNAcentral
GACGUAGGGCGCGAGCGUUGUCCGGAUUUAUUGGGCGUAAAGAGCUCGUAGGCGGCUCGUUGCGUCGGCUGUGAAAACCCGCAGCUCAACUGUGGGCUUGCAGCCGAUACGGGCGGGCUGGGAUUCGGUAGGGGGGACUGGAAUUCCUGGUGUAGCGGUGAAAUGCGCAGAUAUCAGGAGGAACACCGGUGGCGAAGGCGGGUCUCUGGGCCGAUAUCGACGCUGAGGAGCGAAAGCGUGGGGAGCGAACAGG